RNAcentral lists this ribosomal RNA (429 nucleotides) under Pseudomonadota bacterium. Its description in RNAcentral is "Proteobacteria bacterium partial 16S ribosomal RNA". It matches the Rfam family "Bacterial small subunit ribosomal RNA", at positions 355 to 776 of the family's 1533-position model. The record is from RNAcentral. Lineage: Bacteria; Pseudomonadati; Pseudomonadota.
UGGGGAAUAUUGGACAAUGGGCGAAAGCCUGAUCCAGCCAUGCCGCGUGUGUGAAGAAGGUCUUCGGAUUGUAAAGCACUUUAAGUUGGGAGGAAGGGCAGUAAGCGAAUACCUUGCUGUUUUGACGUUACCGACAGAAUAAGCACCGGCUAACUCUGUGCCAGCAGCCGCGGUAAUACAGAGGGUGCAAGCGUUAAUCGGAAUUACUGGGCGUAAAGCGCGCGUAGGUGGUUCGUUAAGUUGAAUGUGAAAGCCCCGGGCUCAACCUGGGAACUGCAUCCAAAACUGGCGGGCUAGAGUAGGGCAGAGGGUGGUGGAAUGUCCUGUGUAGCGGUGAAAUGCGUAGAUAUAGGAAGGAACACCAGUGGCGAAGGCGACCACCUGGGCUCAUACUGACACUGAGGUGCGAAAGAGUGGGGAGCAAACAGG